AGCCUACAAAAAACCAAGGUGGGAGCAUUUUGUCACAGAGCUCAACGUAUGCAAACACUGAUAAACUAAAUCCUCUUGUUGGUUCAUUUCGUGGAAUUCAGCCUUUUCUCCUAUCGUUCCAGUCCGCCCAACACAACAUGUUUCCCAUGAAGGAAAUUUAAGAAAAGUUAAAUUUUACAAGGUAAUGGUGUAUGAAUUUGGCAUUUCCUUACAGUCUUAAGCCACAGUAAAAAUGUUAGACAAGAUUAACCUAUUUUAUCCUUAGAUUUGUUAGAAGUUUCAGUGUUUCCAAGAUGUCUCUGGCUUGCUGGUACAUUCAGACAUACUUAUGGAGUAUUGGAAUAUGAUGGUCAAGUUAGUAGUCAAUUAUUUUGACUAGCAACUAAAUUUGUGCAUCAAUGGUGCAAUACUAAGAAUAAGCAUUCUGCAAGUUAUAUGCCAUUUCUACCACACAGACAGUAUGCUAAAAGGGCACAAAGCCUACUAAAGAUGAAGUGAUGUUGUAUGUAACUUGUUCAAUGUUCUCUUAACAUGUUUUGUAAUAAAAAAAGUUCUAAUAUCACAGCAGUGCGUGAGAUCUAUUCUUCGGUUUUGUUUUCUUUGUGUCUCCUCAAGCUGGUCAGAAUAUGCCAGCAGGGUUGGGAAGAGUCUGUGUGUGCAGCCUGAUACAACAGCGAUAUCCAAGAGCAAAUACUUGCUCGUUACCUUUGAAACUAAGGUCACUGGGUUUUUUUUCCUGCAGGGGGGGAGUUACAGAAGGCCAUUCCUGCUAACUGUAGGACAGUUUCAAAGAAAUACAGAGUAUAACUUCCAGCAAGGACAGGUGGUAGUAUCAUGUACAUGCUAACCUACAAACUCACCUUCUUGGAGUGCUUAUUGUACAGUAGUGACACAAACUAGUACCAAGUAUUAAAAGGGACAUGGGAACUCCCACUGAGAUCUUUUCUUUGUGUAACAGAUGCUUGAUUUGUGUUCUGGCCUGCUUAAGGCACAGACAGCCAUGGGGAAUACCUUUUGGCUAAUUACACAGCUACAAGCCUUGAGUUAUGAACUUGGGCUGGAAGCACUUUUAGACUAUUCAACGUUAACAGACAUCUGCUAAAGACCUACUAGAGCAGUUUAAAGAAGGAAUUUAAGACAUAGUUUCCUUCUUUAGAUUUCCAUAAAGGCUGUUAGAGGUUUUAAGGGGCUUAAGCUUUAGUUUAAUUGCAAAUGGAAAGCCUGAGCAUUAAUAGACAAGAUAACUGGGACAGCAAAGCAUCACAAUGUUAACAGAAUCCAGGGGGCUGAUUCUACAUACUCCACUUAAUACCAAGAACUGUUCUCUUGCAGGUUUUUUAGCUGGCCAACUACUAUGGUAUAAAGUGCUUUGUGCCGGAAACUAAAAUGUCUGCUUUUGCUCGACCCUGGGCUCAAGAAGAGAUGCUCAGACCAAAUGGACUCCUGGCAAUUUUGCAGAGGUUUACUGAUUCAGAAACAACAGUCUAUGGUGAAAGCGGGAGGCCCGGCAGCCUUUGGCGAGUGUGAGGCCUGGCAAAGAGCCCAGGGCACCUGGCGGCAGCUCGGCCACGAGCAGGAAAGCGCUCGGUGCGUUAGGAAGUCGCGUUUGGGCUGACCUAUGAACCGCGGUAACGUUUUCCUAUUCAAAAUGCGUCCCUCAGAACAUCAGGAUGGAAAGUGUUAUCAGAGAGGCCAGGAAAUGCCGUCUGAUGGAUUUUAGUUUCACUGGACAAUUUUGGGGUGCAGAUACCGAACAACCCCUAGACUCUGCUGCCCAUAAAAGCACCCCUGCCAGGGAAGAGAGCUCCAGUCCUUCUGCACUGGUGAACUGGAUUCCCCAAGCCUCAGAAGGGCCGAGGAAGCCCAGCUCAAUCUUGCCCCUUAAAAGCAACACGCAACACAGGAGUUUCAGUGAACUACAAUACACCACAGUGUUUAUUAACUCGGGAUUAGUGUGAUAAGC
Molecule: long non-coding RNA, 1963 nt
Organism: Numida meleagris (helmeted guineafowl)
Lineage: Eukaryota; Metazoa; Chordata; Aves; Galliformes; Numididae
Exons: 3
Source: RefSeq, a predicted model, not a curated record